CAACAAUUUAACUCUUUAAAAUACAAUACUAAUAUCAACUGGCAAGCAAGAAACAGGUGAUUCAUUUCAUCCAUUUAGCAUAACAACAGAGUACAGAGUCACAGACAUCUAGUUUCUGCAAUCUGUAAAAGAAUGUAAAUAAAUAAAAUUAAAAAAAAAACCCAAAUUGAACCCGUGGACCCGUAGGAACCAACCCACUUCAAACGGACAGGGUUAGGUCCAGUUCUUAAGUAUUUUUUUUAUUACCCAGCCCGGCCGCCCUGUACAAUUUUCAAAUAGGUCCAGUCCAGUUGGACAAUGUAUUGGUACUUUUUUUUUAAAAAAAACAGUUGGACAAUAUAUUGGUACUAGAAAGCAAUAACUUAAAUCAAAACAAACUUUAUGACUUACUAAUUGUAAGUUUACAAAUGUCAUCAAAAUAAUAAGUAAAUAAAGUUACAAACAUAAUCUUCACUAAAUAAUCAAAAGCACGUCAAUCUUAAGCAACCAAAUAAGAAAAAAAAAACUUCAAAAACUCUAACUUUAAAGUUUCAUUUGAAUAUAUAGCAUUAUUAUAAAAUAAAAUUGAAAAGAAAAUCGGUUUUUAAGGUAUUAUUGGCAAUCCUAAUAUCUCAUUGUGCAUUCCUAAUUUUUAUAUUUAGAAAGAAACAAAAUUUACACUUAAAAGAAGUGCACUAUGAAAUUUUGAAGUACUAACAAAAGUAAUUUUUUUUAAUAUAUAAGAAGUGCUAAUAAAAAUAAUUUCUUAGGAGCCCCUUCAAAUUUAGUGGCCAUGUACGAUUGCACCUUUUACUCCUCCUCAAUGCCACCUCUAGCUGCAUGCUCACUGGCGAUACAUAAGCAACAGUAACCAAAUAUGAAAUAUGCACUAAUCGUAUUGCCUAUAUAUAACACCUAACCCCCCCCCCCCCCUCCCUACAAACGCCUCAUCUCUCUCUUCAUUGUAAAUUUUAAUAUGGCAUGGGUGACUUAGAAAAUGAUGUUCAUGGACUUGGUUUCUAACAAAAUUGAGAGUUUCCAUUGAAGGUGUUUUGUAUUUGAUCGGUAUGGAGCAUCGGUAAAGCUCUGCAAAAACUUCUAGAGGCACAUUCUAUCUUUAACGCCAAAUAGCAAAAAAGGCAUGAUUGCAAAUAAUUUUAGUCAUUAAAGAUAUAUUAGUACUUUUACAUCAAUUUUUAGUUAUAUUUACAAUAAAUUUAAAAGAGUGGUUAUAAUUCUAUAUAGGGUCCAAAUUUUGGCUAUUUUUCUAAAUUUUCCCUCAAUAAUUUAUUAGUUUUAUGUUAUAUAAUUAAACUACUUUUGAAUGUUUUCAAAUUUGGCCGUUGAAUUUGAAUCAAUAAUUGAAACUAAGUAGCUAGGCCCAAAAAAAAGGACUAAGGCCAUCUCCAACCGAAAGGGUUAA
This 1402-nucleotide long non-coding RNA is filed under the name Malus domestica (apple). RNAcentral's name for it is "long non-coding RNA (MDOM_LNC005670)". The record is from RNAcentral. Lineage: Eukaryota; Viridiplantae; Streptophyta; Magnoliopsida; Rosales; Rosaceae.